RNAcentral lists this ribosomal RNA (253 nucleotides) under uncultured bacterium. Its description in RNAcentral is "partial 16S ribosomal RNA". It matches the Rfam family "Bacterial small subunit ribosomal RNA", at positions 524 to 776 of the family's 1533-position model. The record is from RNAcentral.
UACGUAGGGAGCAAGCGUUGUCCGGAAUCAUUGGGCGUAAAGCGCGCGUAGGUGGCUUCGUAAGUCCGUUGUGAAAGUCAAAGGCUCAACCUUUGAAUGCCGAUGGAUACUGCGGAGCUAGAGUACGGAAGAGGCGAGUGGAAUUCCUGGUGUAGCGGUGGAAUGCGCAGAUAUCAGGAGGAACACCGGUGGCGAAGGCGGGUCUCUGGGCAGUAACUGACGCUGAGGAGCGAAAGCGUGGGGAGCGAACAGG